GGGAACGUAGCUCAGUGGUAGAGUGCUUGCCUUGCAUGCAUGAGGCCUUGGGUUCCAUUCCUUUUCCUU
Molecule: transfer RNA, 69 nt
Filed under: Dipodomys ordii (Ord's kangaroo rat)
Lineage: Eukaryota; Metazoa; Chordata; Mammalia; Rodentia; Heteromyidae
Rfam family: tRNA
About the family: Transfer RNA (tRNA) molecules are approximately 80 nucleotides in length.
Source: Rfam by way of RNAcentral